RNAcentral lists this ribosomal RNA (235 nucleotides) under uncultured bacterium. RNAcentral's name for it is "partial 16S ribosomal RNA". It matches the Rfam family "Bacterial small subunit ribosomal RNA", at positions 15 to 245 of the family's 1533-position model. The record is from RNAcentral.
GAUCCUGGCUCAGAUUGAACGCUGGCGGCAGGCUUAACACAUGCAAGUCGAACGGUAGCAGGAGAAAGCUUGCUUUCUUGCUGACGAGUGGCGGACGGGUGAGUAAUGCUUGGGAAUCUGGCUUAUGGAGGGGGGAUAACGACGGGAAACUGUCGCUAAUACCGCGUAUUAUCGGAAGAUGAAAGUGCGGGACUGAGAGGCCGCAUGCCAUAGGAUGAGCCCAAGUGGGAUUAGG